CCCGUUGAAGGACAGUGCUGGCCGAGUCCAACCUUCAAUCUUAACCCAUCCGAAGAUGGUCCUUUCCAGCCGAGUUCCACUCAUUUCUGGUUGAACAGCAAAAAGAGGACCUCAGAGAUGCGACAGCUCCGUUGCAGUUUAUCAAUGAAAAUCUAAUAUCGUCCAUAAGGAGAUAAGUGGAAAUCAAUACUUCAUUACCAAAUUGUUAGUGAGCACGAAGAGAAAUGGAUCUGACAGGCAAGAGUGUCAGGAGUUCCAGGCCAGUCUGGAUGACUCAAGAUCCUGUCUCAAAACCAACCAACCAAAGGAAGUCCCUCAUAUCCCACCAUGGGGCGAUGGAAGGGCAGUGUGCUGAAUCCGUGGUAGAUUGAGACUUGCAUCGUAAGUCAUCUGGGGCCAAGGUGGUGCCCCCCUCGCAUUAACUUAGAAGGAGGAGGAAGAGGAGACCAAGUAC
This 454-nucleotide long non-coding RNA is filed under the name Cricetulus griseus (Chinese hamster). Its description in RNAcentral is "lncRNA (ENSCGRG00000025762.1)". The record is from RNAcentral. Lineage: Eukaryota; Metazoa; Chordata; Mammalia; Rodentia; Cricetidae.